Molecule: ribosomal RNA, 497 nt
Filed under: uncultured bacterium
Lineage: Bacteria
Description: partial 16S ribosomal RNA
Rfam family: Bacterial small subunit ribosomal RNA
Source: RNAcentral
GAUGAACGCUGGCGGCGUGCCUAAUACAUGCAAGUCGAGCGAACGGACGAGAAGCUUGCUUCUCUGAUGUUAGCGGCGGACGGGUGAGUAACACGUGGAUAACCUACCUAUAAGACUGGGAUAACUUCGGGAAACCGUAGCUAAUACCGGAUAAUAUUUUGAACCGCAUGGUUCAAAAGUGAAAGACGGUCUUGCUGUCACUUAUAGAUGGAUCCGCGCUGCAUUAGCUAGUUGGUAAGGUAACGGCUUACCAAGGCAACGAUUCAUAGCCGACCUGAGAGGGUGAUCGGCCACACUGGAACUGAGACACGGUCCAGACUCCUACGGGAGGCAGCAGUAGGGAAUAUUCCGCAAUGGGCGAAAGCCUGACGGAGCAACGCCGCGUGAGUGAUGAAGGUCUUCGGAUCGUAAAACUCUGUUAUUAGGGAAGAACAUAUGUGUAAGUAACUGUGCACAUCUUGACGGUACCUAAUCAGAAAGCCACGGCUAACUACGUG